This 460-nucleotide ribosomal RNA is filed under the name uncultured bacterium. RNAcentral's name for it is "partial 16S ribosomal RNA". It matches the Rfam family "Bacterial small subunit ribosomal RNA", at positions 338 to 795 of the family's 1533-position model. The record is from RNAcentral.
CCUACGGGUGGCAGCAGUGAGGAAUAUUGGUCAAUGGACGAGAGUCUGAACCAGCCAAGUAGCGUGAAGGAUGACUGCCCUAUGGGUUGUAAACUUCUUUUAUAAAGGAAUAAAACGAGGCACGUGUGCCUUUUUGCAUGUACUUUAUGAAUAAGGAUCGGCUAACUCCGUGCCAGCAGCCGCGGUAAUACGGAGGAUCCGAGCGUUAUCCGGAUUUAUUGGGUUUAAAGGGUGCGUAGAUGGGUUGUUAAGUCAGUUGUGAAAGUUUGCGGCUCAACCGUAAAAUUGCAAUUGAUACUGGCAGUCGUGAGUACAGUUGAGGUAGGCGGAAUUCGUGGUGUAGCGGUGAAAUGCUUAGAUAUCACGAAGAACCCCGAUUGCGAAGGCAGCUUACUAAACUGUGACUGACAUUGAUGCUCGAAAGUGUGGGUAUCAAACAGGAUUAGAUACCCGGGUAGUC